This 914-nucleotide ribosomal RNA is filed under the name uncultured archaeon. Its description in RNAcentral is "bacterial SSU rRNA". It matches the Rfam family "Archaeal small subunit ribosomal RNA", at positions 1 to 922 of the family's 1478-position model. The record is from RNAcentral.
UUCUGGUUGAUCCUGCCGGACCUGACUGCUAUCGGAUUGAUACUAAGCCAUGCGAGUCGUUGUAGCAAUACAAGGCAUACGGCUCAGUAACGCGUAGUCAACCUAACCUAUGGACGGGAAUAACCUCGGGAAACUGAGAAUAAUGCCCGAUAGAACAUUAUGCCUGGAAUGGUUUAUGUUCCAAAUGAUUUAUCGCCAUAGGAUGGGACUGCGGCCUAUCAGUUUGUUGGUGAGGUAAUGGCCCACCAAGACUAUUACAGGUACGGGCUCUGAGAGGAGUAGCCCGGAGAUGGGUACUGAGACACGGACCCAGGCCCUAUGGGGCGCAGCAGGCGAGAAAACUUUGCAAUGUGCGAAAGCACGACAAGGUUAAUCCGAGUGAUUUCUGCUAAAGAGAUCUUUUGUUAGUCCUAGAAACACUAACGAAUAAGGGGUGGGCAAGUUCUGGUGUCAGCCGCCGCGGUAAAACCAGCACCUCAAGUGGUCAGGAUGAUUAUUGGGCCUAAAGCAUCCGUAGCCGGCUCUGUAAGUUUUCGGUUAAAUCUGUACGCUCAACGUACAGGCUGCCGGAAAUACUGCAGAACUAGGGAGUGGGAGAGGUAGACGGUACUCGGUAGGAAGUGGUAAAAUGCUUUGAUCUAUCGAUGACCACCUGUGGCGAAGGCGGUCUACCAGAACACGUCCGACGGUGAGGGAUGAAAGCUGGGGGAGCAAACCGGAUUAGAUACCCGGGUAGUCCCAGCUGUAAACUAUGCAAACUCAGUGAUGCAUUGGCUUGUGGCCAAUGCAGUGCUGCAGGGAAGCCGUUAAGUUUGCCGCCUGGGAAGUACGUACGCAAGUAUGAAACUUAAAGGAAUUGGCGGGGGAGCACCACAAGGGGUGAAGCCUGCGGUUCAAUUGGAUUCAACGCCGGG